Alosa sapidissima (American shad) is the source of this 137-nucleotide long non-coding RNA. RefSeq lists it as uncharacterized. NCBI's taxonomy places the organism in Eukaryota, Metazoa, Chordata, Actinopteri, Clupeiformes, Clupeidae. The record is from RefSeq and is a predicted model, not a curated record. The transcript has 3 exons.
AAACGUAAAGUCAUGCACAAGCCAACUAAGCUAUAUAUAACCUAUAGAUAGGCUACUGGAACUGGAAGACACUACAGAUAAUUAGUUCAUGUAGCUAUACUGUUCCAAAAUGUACCAGCAAUGUAGGUAGGUAGUAU